Cicer arietinum (chickpea) is the source of this 447-nucleotide non-coding RNA. The record is from RefSeq and is a predicted model, not a curated record. NCBI's taxonomy places the organism in Eukaryota, Viridiplantae, Streptophyta, Magnoliopsida, Fabales, Fabaceae.
CUCCUUGCGCAAACUCUUUCAUUCUCACGCAAAACAAUCUUCACUGUCUUCUCUCUCAAGAACCCUCUCGACAUCGCUCGACCUGAAUGAAAAAGGGGAAAAACAUGAUUAGGGUUUCUGUGUCUAGUACAGUUUUCUCGUGAUUUUCCCCCUUUUCUCGCAACUCUACAUCGAUUAGGGUUUUGGCAUCUUGCGGGACUUGCAAAAGUUUUACCUCUUCGUGACUUGGUGAGCUUGUGGAGAGGCAACUAGAGCAAUUCCAAACCGAUUGUGAUGGUGAUGAACAAAAGGAAAAGCCUUCUGCUUCAGGAACUGACUUAGUUUUGUACAGGAGCGAUUCCUAAAAAGAAGACAACAUCUUGUGGAUCCCAAUUCUUCCACCUUGAAGAUGAAUGCAAUGUCCAUUUUGUGAUUUUUCAAAUACUUGUUACAAUGAGAGAUCUGAUG